AAAUCGUCUCGUCAGGCGGCCGGCCACCUUCCUGACUUCCAACGCCCAGGAAAAAAAUUGGGGAAAGUUUAUCGCCCGCAUCGCGCGCCCUUUCCCAGUUGGAGAUAAAAAUAAAAGGGGAAGGAAGGAAAUCGCGGGGACGUUAGCGCCCUUGUAGAGACCCCACCCUCGGCGUAAACGUGCAAAGUCCCAUUUCGUUAAAAAAAAAAAAAAAAAAAAAAAAAAAAAGAAAGAAAAAAAAACCAAGAACAGAACGCCGCUCGCUUACCACGUGCGCCAGCCCGCUCCGCCUGCGCUCCGGCCGGUCCCGCGGCCCCCGCGCUGGCCACCGGCAAGACGACGCCUCGGAGGGGAGCCCGACUCGCAUCUCCAGCCUGGAGUCCGAAAGAAGUGGCGGGGGGGAGCCGGAUUAUGCAAAUGUGGGUCGUGGCAGCGGGACUCGGGUUACGGCCCCGCCGGCCUCCGAGAGUGGUGAUGGAACGGAGUCAAGCCAACCACUCCGUGAUCGGUACUGGGAAGGCUAAAGCGACUUGCCUAAAGUCACGCAGCUGCCCGAAUGGAUAUUUCCUUCACAUCUCAGCACAAGCCUUUCCUUCCAGACCUCCCCACUCUUCCCUGGUCAUUCACCUCCUGUCCAUCACUGUGUGGUGUUCUUAGUGCUGGGCAGAUACAAUGAUGAGAAAAAGCUUCCAGACUUUAAGCAAUCUGCUCAACAUCACACACGUUGGAUUCAAAUGUGAGUCAUCUGAAUUCAGAAGCAAUGCUCUUGAAUAAUACUCUAUGCAGCUUCCCCUUUAUUUUUCUACAAAAGUGAAUGUCAUUAUGAGCAUCCAUUAAUUCAUUCAUUCAACCAAUAUUUAUUGAGCACUUCUAUGAUCCAGAUACUUGUCAACAAUAGGCUACAACAGGGAACAAAGAUCCUACAUUAUAUUCUAGUGGGAAAUAGACAUCAAACCACUCAUUACAAUAAAGUUUAACGAGCACUAAGACAGGAAGUUCCAGAGUGCCUUGGGAACCAGUAGUCUAAUUAAUUCCUGGUAUGACAAAUCCCUUCUAAAUCCCAUUAUGUUUAUAUAUUAGACUGGCCAGGGCACUGUUCAGAUGACCAGUAAGGGCUCCAUAUAGCCACCUCAUGAAAGAAGCAAUCUCUUAUUCGAUGCUGACAUAACCAGCUACCUUGGCCACAGAUUGGACUAAGACCUGCCAAAAGUAGCUAUCUUAUGCAAUGGUUGUCAUGCCCCUAGUUCUCUGAGCAAGAGCAAGAGAGAGAGAGGGUAGGUUGAGAAUUUGCAGAGAUACUCCAGAAAAAAAAAGACUUAAAGGAAAUCCACCAAAAUGCUACUCCAGAUAACUUGAUUAGUUAUCUCCAGAUAGGAGGUGGGUGAUGUUAUUUUCUUUUUUUACUUUUGUAUUUUCCUUAUGUUCUACAGUGGAUAAUGUGUUGCAUUUGUAGUUUCUAAAUUUUCUACAGGUGAUAAUGUUUUGUAUAUGCAGGUUUUAGAGCUCCAGACCACUUGUACAAUGACAGUAACCUGUAGAAAACAUAAAACUGUCAGUUGAAGAGAUUUAGCAUCUUUCUGACUACAGGAACUAAAAUGCUGUAUCCUGCUGGGGUUUUCUAAUUAUGGUAAAAUAAAUACAUAAUAUAAAUUAACCAUCAUAACCAUUGUAGUGAUAACCAUCGUGUCACUACAAUUUAGUGAUAUUGAGUACAUUGACAUUGUUGUGCAACCAGCACCACUAGCCAACUCCAGACUUUCUAUUUUUUUGCAACUUCUUUAAACUCUGAAUCCAUUAAACAAUAACUCCCUGUUCCCUUUCCUCCAACCCCUGGCAACCACCAUUCUACUUCCUGUCUCAAUGAAUUUGACUACUGUAGGGACCUCAUGUAAGUGGCACCUCAUAUACUAUUUGUCUUUUUAUGACUGGCUUAUUUCACUUAGCCCAAAGUCUUCUGAUGUCUUUACCCAUGUUGUAGCUUGUGUCAGAAUUUCCUUCCUUUUUAAGGCUGAAUAAUAUUCCAUUGUAUGUGUAUACCACAUCGUUUAUCCAUUUAUAACCCAAGUGUUUGUGUCUACCUCUUGGAUAUUGUGAAUCAUGUUGUUAUGAACAUUGAUGUUCAAAUAUCUGAAUCCCCACUUUCAAUUCUUUGGGGGUAUGUGUCCAAAAGUAGAGUUAUAUAUAUAUAUAUGGUAGUUCCAUGUUUAAUUUUUUGAGGAACUUCCAUAUCAUUUUCCAGAGUGGCUAUCCCUUUUUACAUUCCCAUCAACAGUGCACAAGGCUUCCAAUUUCUUCACAUAUUCACCAACACUUUUUAUUUUUGGUUUCUUGAUAAUAGUCAUCAUGAUGGGUGUGAGGCUUAUGUCCUGUGGUUUUCAUUUGCAUUUCCCUAAUGAUUAAUGAUGUUGAGCAUCUUUUCAUGUGCUUAUUGGUCAUUGGUCACAUUUCUUCUUCA
Canis lupus familiaris (dog) is the source of this 2455-nucleotide long non-coding RNA. RefSeq lists it as uncharacterized. The transcript has 4 exons. NCBI's taxonomy places the organism in Eukaryota, Metazoa, Chordata, Mammalia, Carnivora, Canidae. The record is from RefSeq and is a predicted model, not a curated record.